GUAGGGAAUAUUGGGCAAUGGAUGCAAGUCUGACCCAGCCAUCCCGCGUGCCGGAAGAAGGCCCUCAGGGUUGUAAACGGCUUUUGACGGUGAAGAAUCGACAGGAUGCGUCCUGUUUUGACGGUAGCCGUUGAAUAAGCACCGGCUAACUCCGUGCCAGCAGCCGCGGUAAUACGGUGGGUGCGAGCGUUGUCCGGAUUUAUUGGGUUUAAAGGGUGCGUAGGCUGGAAGGUCAGUCAGCGGUGAAAAGCUGUCGCUUAACGAUAGUCUUGCCGCAGAUACUUCCUUUCUUGGAUGAGGAGGAGGCCACUGGAACGGAUGGUGUAGCGGUGAAAUGCAUAGAUAUCAUCCAGAACACCGAUUGCGAAGGCAGGUGGCUGUACCUUAAUCGACGCUGAUGCACGAAAGCAUGGGGAGCAAACAGGAUUAGAAACCCCAGUAGUCC
This 445-nucleotide ribosomal RNA is filed under the name uncultured bacterium. RNAcentral's name for it is "partial 16S ribosomal RNA". It matches the Rfam family "Bacterial small subunit ribosomal RNA", at positions 354 to 796 of the family's 1533-position model. The record is from RNAcentral.